This 594-nucleotide ribosomal RNA is filed under the name uncultured Rhizobium sp. RNAcentral's name for it is "bacterial SSU rRNA". It matches the Rfam family "Bacterial small subunit ribosomal RNA", at positions 907 to 1498 of the family's 1533-position model. Lineage: Bacteria; Pseudomonadati; Pseudomonadota; Alphaproteobacteria; Hyphomicrobiales; Rhizobiaceae. The record is from RNAcentral.
GAAUUGACGGGGGCCCGCACAACCGGUGGAGCAUGUGGUUUAAUUGGAAGCAACGCGCAGAACCUUACCAGCUCUUGACAUCCCGAUCGCGGACAGUGGAGACAUUGUCCUUCAGUUAGGCUGGAUCGGUGACAGGUGCUGCAUGGCUGUCGUCAGCCCGUGUCGUGAGAUGUUGGGUUAAGUCCCGCAACGAGCGCAACCCUCGCCCUUAGUUGCCAGCAUUCAGUUGGACACUCUAAGGGGACUGCCGGUGAUAAGCCGAGAGGAAGGUGGGGAUGACGUCAAGUCCUCAUGGCCCUUACGGGCUGGGCUACACACGUGCUACAAUGGUGGUGACAGUGGGCAGCGAGACCGCGAGGUCGAGCUAAUCUCCAAAAGCCAUCUCAGUUCGGAUUGCACUCUGCAACUCGAGUGCAUGAAGUUGGAAUCGCUAGUAAUCGCAGAUCAGCAUGCUGCGGUGAAUACGUUCCCGGGCCUUGUACACACCGCCCGUCACACCAUGGGAGUUGGUUUUACCCGAAGGUAGUGCGCUAACCGCAAGGAGGCAGCUAACCACGGUAGGGUCAGCGACUGGGGUGAAGUCGUAACAAGGUA